RNAcentral lists this long non-coding RNA (860 nucleotides) under Anas platyrhynchos platyrhynchos (common mallard). RNAcentral describes it as "lncRNA (ENSAPLG00000028358.1)". The record is from RNAcentral. Lineage: Eukaryota; Metazoa; Chordata; Aves; Anseriformes; Anatidae.
CCAAAGUCUAGUGGGCAAAGUCUAGUCGUCCUUCAGUCCCGAAAGGGGGAGUAGGGAUUGGUCCAACAUUCUCUUGCUCAAGUUGUUUGAGACGAAACAGGCAAAGUUCAUUAGACAGCCACCCAAAGGUGGGCAGAAGCACCUGCGUCUGCUGCUCCUGUUCCUUCUUCUCUUAGGUGUCCUUCAUGUUGGAGGGCCUAGAAACUCAAUAAACUGUGGGACACUUGCAAGAGGUUUUUUUCAUCAGUCUGGGAUUACAGGAGCUCCAGCCAGUUUUAUUUUGCCAAGUGGUGCGUAAUGGUGCAGUGACAGGAGGGCAUUAUAUAUGGUUCAAAUGCACUGUGGAAAAGGGAAGAUGGAUUUGUUCCUGGUUCUCAGGCAUUUAUUUCUGCAUACUGGUCUUCCAAGCGAUGCUCUUGAAAAUAGGAGCAAGAAUGUAGCAGCAAUCAACCUGAAAAACAAUGUGCAAUCAUUUGAAGUGUCUGAACCCAGGGCUAAAAUGAAGGGCCCAGACCUAAUUCUUCAGGAAAUGUGUUGUUUUGUCUUGGAGUUGAAGCAGUAAACAUAAAGUAUAUUUUAUAUGAACACAUAUCAAUGCAAACUGCAUUCUGUGUCAAAAACAUGGGUUGCUUUAUCUAAGUGAAAAGGCUUUGUUUUCUGUUUGAAAAUGACAAUGAGAAUUUUGGAUGGAAACUGAGAAGAGAACAGUAAGCCAUAUCAGUAACAGUGCUGAUCACAGCUGAAGUGUAUGUUACCAAGGUGACCACACUUACAGACUCAUGCUGAACUCAUCAGUAAUCAAGAGUUUAACUAGCAACAUCUCUAAAAGUUACAUUUCUGCCUUGGCUAAAAUAAAAAAG